AGUGAACGCUGGCGGUAGGCCUAACACAUGCAAGUCGAACGGCAGCACAGUAAGAGCUUGCUCUUACGGGUGGCGAGUGGCGGACGGGUGAGGAAUACAUCGGAAUCUACUUUUUCGUGGGGGUUAACGUAGGGAAACUUACGCUAAUACCGCAUACGACCUACGGGUGAAAGCAGGGGAUCUUCGGACCUUGCGCGAUUGAAUGACCCGAUGUCGGAUUAGCUAGUUGGUGGGGUAAAGGCCCACCAAGGCGACGAGCCGUAGCUGGUCUGAGAGGAUGAUCAGCCACACUGGAACUGAGACACGGUCCAGACUCCUACGGGAGGCAGCAGUGGGGAAUAUUGGACAAUGGGCGCAAGCCUGAUCCAGCCAUACCGCGUGGGUGAAGAAGGCCUUCGGGUUGUAAAGCCCUUUUGUUGGGAAAGAAAAGCAGCAGGUUAAUACCCCGCUGUUCUGACGGUACCCAAAGAAUAAGCACCGGCUAACUUCGUG
This 492-nucleotide ribosomal RNA is filed under the name uncultured bacterium. RNAcentral's name for it is "partial 16S ribosomal RNA". It matches the Rfam family "Bacterial small subunit ribosomal RNA", at positions 29 to 507 of the family's 1533-position model. The record is from RNAcentral.